GACGAACGCUGGCGGCGUGCUUAACACAUGCAAGUCGAACGGUAAGGCCCUUCGGGGUACACGAGUGGUGAACGGGUGAGUAACACGUGGGUGAUCUGCCCUGCACUUCGGGAUAAGCCUGGGAAACUGGGUCUAAUACCGGAUAGGACCACUGCCUGCAUGGGUGGUGGUGGAAAGCUUUUGCGGUGUGGGAUGGGCCCGCGGCCUAUCAGCUUGUUGGUGGGGUGAUGGCCUACCAAGGCGACGACGGGUAGCCGGCCUGAGAGGGUGACCGGCCACACUGGGACUGAGAUACGGCCCAGACUCCUACGGGAGGCAGCAGUGGGGAAUAUUGCACAAUGGGCGCAAGCCUGAUGCAGCGACGCCGCGUGAGGGAUGACGGCCUUCGGGUUGUAAACCUCUUUCAGCAUCGACGAAGCGCAAGUGACGGUAGGUGCAGAAGAAGGACCGGCCAACUACGUGCCAGCAGCCGCAGUAA
Molecule: ribosomal RNA, 478 nt
Filed under: uncultured bacterium
Lineage: Bacteria
Description: partial 16S ribosomal RNA
Rfam family: Bacterial small subunit ribosomal RNA
Source: RNAcentral